Molecule: long non-coding RNA, 828 nt
Organism: Asparagus officinalis (garden asparagus)
Lineage: Eukaryota; Viridiplantae; Streptophyta; Magnoliopsida; Asparagales; Asparagaceae
Exons: 2
Source: RefSeq, a predicted model, not a curated record
AUUUGCUAGCUUAUGCUUUGAAACCCAGUCGAUAGAAUUUUGCUAGCAAGUGUGGUUAGUUAUGUUCUAUGUUUUGUCCAUUAUGUCGUAAUAUUAUUGUAACUUGUUAAAAUUACUGUUAUUGCAAGAUUGUAAGAAAGUUUAGAACUGUCUUAAAACUUUUUAUUUUUAUUGUUUUUGGAUUCAGAAGAGUUUUAUUCUUGGCUAGCAUAUUGACAUAGAUAUUGUCUUUAGCAUAUUGACCAUUUCUUUUAUUUUCUUCCUUGUUGGCUCCACUGGGGAACUAUCCUUGCUUUACAAAGAGUUCAGUACUUGAUUUUAAUAAUCUGCUUUAUUUUAUUGUUCUAUGAAAACCACAAGGGAAGAUAGUGGAACUGGAAGCUUUAUUUCUCUAGUAGGCAUCUGUGAUGACUUCAUUUUAGUUAUCCUUGCACUAUGAUUUUCUAUGAAGAUACUAUUGGGGAAGAUAUAGUCUGAGAUGCCUGAAUAUACAUGCGGUCAUACAUAUAUACCAAGAUAUUGUCGUGUAAGACGCGCGCGUGCUCAUUAACACAUGCACAGAGCAAAGAGGGUCGUGGAAUGGACAGGGUACAGCGGAGGAGGGGGAAAGGGGUUGUUAGGGUUGGGUAAUGAAAGGAGAUAUGAAAGGGAGCUAGUCGGGUCAGAGGCAAAGUUGUGUCUGGUGUAGAACGGGAUAUGAGAAUUAUGUAGAGAGGGGCAGUUGGUUUCUUUUAAGAAGGAGAAGGGUAUUUUUGGAUAUUUUUUUGCCUCUGUAAUACCAUAUACAUAAACACUGAAAUACUAUAUGUGGGUUAAAAUUAUUGGAAA